RNAcentral lists this unclassified non-coding RNA (333 nucleotides) under Zea mays. Its description in RNAcentral is "misc RNA Zm00001eb222100". The record is from RNAcentral. Lineage: Eukaryota; Viridiplantae; Streptophyta; Magnoliopsida; Poales; Poaceae.
CUGCUGCACGAGCUACAGCUACAAGCGGUGGUGGGCGCAGGAGGCAGUGCCGUCGUCGAAGUUCUGGUAGUAGCUAUGCAGGUCAUACCCAAACCUCACCGCGGUUCGCCUCGGCCGCGCCGCGCGUCUUCUCCAAGAGCGCCUCAACCUCGACAGCACAGCCGCUUCACCGCAGCAGCUGGCCGGCGGCCGCCGCUCCUGGCGUGGACGAGCCUCCCGCCCAAGCCGCUGCCCCCGGUGUACGGGCCUAGCAGAGACGCCGCCGCCAUGAUCGUUCACUCGGUCGGUUCACAGUUCUCACAGGUCACAGGUCACGGACGCUCUUGCCACUAA